RNAcentral lists this ribosomal RNA (589 nucleotides) under Farysia setubalensis. Its description in RNAcentral is "eukaryotic LSU rRNA". It matches the Rfam family "Eukaryotic large subunit ribosomal RNA", at positions 70 to 642 of the family's 3401-position model. The record is from RNAcentral. Lineage: Eukaryota; Fungi; Basidiomycota; Ustilaginomycetes; Ustilaginales; Ustilaginaceae.
AAGGAUUCCCUAGUAACGGCGAGUGAAGAGGGAAGAGCCCAAGAUUGAAAGCUGGCGUCUUUGGCGUCCGCAUUGUAAUCUCAAGAAGCAUUUUCCGCUUCGGACCAAGCCUAAGUCCCUUGGAAAAGGGCAUCGUAGAGGGUGAGAAUCCCGUACAUGGCUUGGAGCGCCCGAGGCUUUGUGAUAUGCAUUCUAAGAGUCGAGUUGUUUGGGAAUGCAGCUCAAAAUGGGUGGUAAAUGCCAUCUAAGGCUAAAUAUUGGGGAGAGACCGAUAGCGAACAAGUACCGUGAGGGAAAGAUGAAAAGAACUUUGAAAAGAGAGUUAAACAGUACGUGAAAUUGCCAAAAGGGAAGGGUAGGAGGUCAGAGAUGCGGCGUGGAAUUCAGCCUUGCUUUUGCUUGGUCUACUUUCCUCAUUGCAGGCCAACGUCGGUUUUGGGCACUGGAGAAUGGUGGGAGGAAUGUGGCACCCCUCGGGGUGUGUUAUAGCCUCCUACUGGAUACAGCGACCGGGACCGAGGAACGCAGCGUACUCGAAAGAGCGGGCCUUCGGCACCUUUACGCUUAGGGCGUUGGCAUAAUGCCCUCU